GACGAACGCUGGCGGCGUGCUUAACACAUGCAAGUCGAACGGAAAGGCCCUGCUUUUGUGGGGUGCUCGAGUGGCGAACGGGUGAGUAACACGUGAGUAACCUGCCCUUGACUUUGGGAUAACUUCAGGAAACUGGGGCUAAUACCGGAUAGGAGCUCCUGCUGCAUGGUGGGGGUUGGAAAGUUUCGGCGGUUGGGGAUGGACUCGCGGCUUAUCAGCUUGUUGGUGGGGUAGUGGCUUACCAAGGCUUUGACGGGUAGCCGGCCUGAGAGGGUGACCGGCCCCAUUGGGACUGAGAUACGGCCCAGACUGCUACGGGAGGCAGCAGUGGGGAAUAUUGCACAAUGGGCGGAAGCCUGAUGCAGCAACGCCGCGUGCGGGAUGACGGCCUUCGGGUUGUAAACCGCUUUCGCCUGUGACGAAGCGUGAGUGACGGUAAUGGGUAAAGAAGCACCGGCUAACUACGUG
Molecule: ribosomal RNA, 468 nt
Filed under: uncultured bacterium
Lineage: Bacteria
Description: partial 16S ribosomal RNA
Rfam family: Bacterial small subunit ribosomal RNA
Source: RNAcentral